CCUACGGGAGGCAGCAGUGGGGAAUUUUGGACAAUGGGGGCAACCCUGAUCCAGCAAUGCCGCGUGAGUGAAGAAGGCCUUCGGGUUGUAAAGCUCUUUUGUCAGGGAAGAAACAGCAGCUCUAACACAGUCUGCGAAUGACGGUACCUGAAGAAUAAGCACCGGCUAACUACGUGCCAGCAGCCGCGGUAAUACGUAGGGUGCGAGCGUUAAUCGGAAUUACUGGGCGUAAAGCGUGCGCAGGCGGUUAUACAAGACAGGCGUGAAAUCCCCGGGCUUAACCUGGGAAUGGCGUCUGUGACUGUAUAGCUAGAGUGUGUCAGAGGGGGGUGGAAUUCCACGUGUAGCAGUGAAAUGCGUAGAUAUGUGGAGGAACACCAAUGGCGAAGGCAGCCCCCUGGGAUAACACUGACGCUCAUGCACGAAAGCGUGGGGAGCAAACAGGAUUAGAUACCCUGGUAGUCCACGCCCUAAACGAUGCUGACUAGUUGUUGGGAAUUUACAUUCUCAGUAACGUAGCUGACGCGUGAAGUCAGCCGCCUGGGGAGUACGGUCGCAAGAUUAAAACUCAAAGGAAUUGACGG
This 584-nucleotide ribosomal RNA is filed under the name uncultured beta proteobacterium. RNAcentral describes it as "bacterial SSU rRNA". It matches the Rfam family "Bacterial small subunit ribosomal RNA", at positions 338 to 916 of the family's 1533-position model. Lineage: Bacteria; Pseudomonadati; Pseudomonadota; Betaproteobacteria. The record is from RNAcentral.